GACGAACGCUGGCGGCGUGCUUAACACAUGCAAGUCGAACGGAAAGGCCCUGCUUGCAGGGUACUCGAGUGGCGAACGGGUGAGUAACACGUGGGUGAUCUGCCCUGCACUUCGGGAUAAGCCUGGGAAACUGGGUCUAAUACCGGAUAGGAGCCAUUUUUAGUGUGAUGGUCGGAAAGUUUUUUCGGUGUAGGAUGAGCUCGCGGCCUAUCAGCUUGUUGGUGGGGUAAUGGCCUACCAAGGCGGCGACGGGUCGCCGGCCUGAGAGGGUGGACGGCCACAUGAGGACUGAGAGACGGACCAGACUCCUACGGGAGGCAGCGGGGGGGAAUAUUGCACAAUGGGCGCAAGCCUGAUGCGGCGACGCCGCGUGGGGGAUGACGGCCUUCGGGUUGUAAACUCCUUUCGCUAGGGACGAAGCUUUUUGUGACGGUACCUAGAUAAGAAGCACCGGCUAACUACGU
RNAcentral lists this ribosomal RNA (464 nucleotides) under uncultured bacterium. RNAcentral's name for it is "partial 16S ribosomal RNA". It matches the Rfam family "Bacterial small subunit ribosomal RNA", at positions 28 to 506 of the family's 1533-position model. The record is from RNAcentral.